CGUUAAACCUAUAGAAAUUCUUUGUUCAAAUUUAUUGCGCAGUAGAGUUUUAAACAAUGACUAGGGCGAUGAGUCCUCUGAAAGAAGAACAUCACUUGAGUCUUGAUCUACGAUCAGUGCGGAUGUGCCUAACUGAAAGUUAAUACGACGCUAGUGGAAGUUAUUAAGAAUUCGAUAGUGAUAAUUUGAGAACGUUAUUAAUCCGGAAGUGCGAAGAUUACACAAAUUAAGAAUCGAAUAGUGAGCCUUCCGAGAUUGUUAUCACACCUGAUUGUGUGCUGUAAUUAAUUUACUGUGGUAAAUUUUGAGGAAUAACCCUACAACGUGGGGUUUUUGUUUGGGCUCGGACCAUUGACAACCGCCAACUGUCGUCGACCACGUGCAACUAGUCCAGGCGUAUCCCGAUGCGCCGCUGCGGUGGCUCGUGAGUACUCACUGCAGUGUCGUUCUAUCCCAGAAUCCGACCGAGUGCUAGAACGCAACCAAACUGCUCGAUAUCCGCCGAGGACUCAAUUUUGAAUUUCGGUGUCAAGCCAAAACGAUCACCGACCAGCACCCGACGUCCCUACAGUGGUGCUAGGCGUCGUCAUCCCGAGGCGCAAGAGAGCUUUGGACACGCGUCGUGAGAGUACUUUGCGGUCGCUGGACAAAUCCAACCAAACGAAAGUGGUAAGUUGCACCCAACUACGUUGGUCGAAUCACCCCUCGGUCACGCGGAGAGCCUGAGCACGAGAGCGAAGAGCAUCGAGGUGAAGCCACGUCGGGGCCCCGAUCAACGCGUCGUUGGAACCUGCCGGCAAGUACUUGCAUGCAUGAAGAGAGAAGAGUAGCUUUAAGAUAGGUAGCCUAGGGAGAUUGAUUGUGCAAGGAAAAUUGGAACAAUAAAGCUAUUUUUAAACCUUGCACUGGUUCCUACAUAGGCACAGCUAGGCGAUAUUUUGCGCUGAUUUGAAAUCUCUACUGAAGUGAUUUGAAAUCGGUUUUUUUUCGUAACUUUUAGCUCCAUAUUUUAUGAAUUGAGGGGGCCAAAGGCCAAAGAGUUUUUUGAGGUUUACACGGGAGGGAUUCGAAAGGUAAGUCGGGUCGUCAUUUGGAAGCCAAGAAUAGCUGGUGUGUUUGAGCAACUAUUAAAACUCGCCCUAGAAGAGGGUCUCAAAGCCGGGACCCAAACAGCAUCAGCAGCCUUCCUCGUUGGGGAAGUGGCGCUUAAGCUGCUGUUUGUGAUAAGCUCGAGCUGAUUCGUUACAAU
Molecule: long non-coding RNA, 1249 nt
Organism: Aedes albopictus (Asian tiger mosquito)
Lineage: Eukaryota; Metazoa; Arthropoda; Insecta; Diptera; Culicidae
Exons: 3
Source: RefSeq, a predicted model, not a curated record